This 307-nucleotide ribosomal RNA is filed under the name uncultured eukaryote. RNAcentral describes it as "partial 18S ribosomal RNA". It matches the Rfam family "Eukaryotic small subunit ribosomal RNA", at positions 1470 to 1796 of the family's 1831-position model. The record is from RNAcentral.
CCCUUAGACGUUCUGGGCCGCACGCGCGCUACACUGACACAGGCAACGAGCUUUCCUUUACCGAAAGGUAUGGGUAAUCUUUUGAAACUGUGUCGUGCUGGGGAUAGAUCCUUGCAAUUUUUGAUCUUAAACGAGGAAUUCCUAGUAAGCGCGAGUCAUCAACUCGCGUUGAUUACGUCCCUGCCCUUUGUACACACCGCCCGUCGCUACUACCGAUUGAAUGGCUUAGUGAGGUCUCAGGAUCCGCGCUUAAUGUGUGGAGAAUUUGGACAAACUACGUCAUUUAGAGGAAGUAAAAGUCGUAACA